CCUACGGGAGACAGCAGUGAGGAAUAUUGGUCAAUGGACGAGAGUCUGAACCAGCCAAGUAGCGUGAAGGAUGACUGCCCUAUGGGUUGUAAACUUCUUUUAUAUGGGAAUAAAAUGUUCCACGUGUGGGCUUUUGUAUGUACCAUAUGAAUAAGGAUCGGCUAACUCCGUGCCAGCAGCCGCGGUAAUACGGAGGAUCCGAGCGUUAUCCGGAUUUAUUGGGUUUAAAGGGAGCGUAGGUGGAUUGUUAAGUCAGUUGUGAAAGUUUGCGGCUCAACCGUAAAAUUGCAGUUGAAACUGGCAGUCUUGAGUACAGUAGAGGUGGGCGGAAUUCGUGGUGUAGCGGUGAAAUGCUUAGAUAUCACGAAGAACUCCGAUGGCGAAGGCAGCUCACUGGACUGCAACUGACACUGAGGCUCGAAAGUGUGGGUAUCAAACAGGAUUAGAUACCCUGGUAGUC
This 460-nucleotide ribosomal RNA is filed under the name uncultured bacterium. RNAcentral's name for it is "partial 16S ribosomal RNA". It matches the Rfam family "Bacterial small subunit ribosomal RNA", at positions 338 to 795 of the family's 1533-position model. The record is from RNAcentral.